RNAcentral lists this long non-coding RNA (8323 nucleotides) under Lactuca sativa (garden lettuce). RNAcentral's name for it is "long non-coding RNA (LSAT_LNC008622)". Lineage: Eukaryota; Viridiplantae; Streptophyta; Magnoliopsida; Asterales; Asteraceae. The record is from RNAcentral.
AUGUAUGGCAGAACGAAUGAGAAGAAUCAAAUUAGGCAGAAGGAUAAAAAUUUCUCAAAUCUGAAAAGAUGGGAGAGUAUUUUUAUGAUAUAUGAUCAUCUUAAUGAUUAAGAGACCUUAUCACAAUUCAUCCUUUAAGUGCAUUCUGAUAGCUAAGAAGAGGAGUUAUGAAUUGUUGAAGUGGUUAAAUCAAGAAGAUGAGUCAUACUUCGUUCCAAAACAAUUCUUAGAGUCAUACUCCAAGAUUGUAACUUGAGUGACAUAUCUUAAAGAAGGUUUAUUAACACUAGUCAAAUGUAAGAGUAACAGGUUAUCUACUCUUGUACAUUUGAAAUUGGUAAGUUGUGAUGUUUUGGAUAAAACAGAGACCAACUUAGACCAAUUGUGUGAAGUGUUUGUCUUGAUAAAGAAUCCGCACUAUCCCUUGAAAAUUUGGUUGGUUUUUCACAAAACGAAACAUUUUAAUCUAAGGGUUUUAAUAAAAGUCAAGGGUUGAUACGUGCAAUUAGCCGAGCUCAAGUAAGUCUUCCUAAAAUACCCAUACAAGUUAUUAUGUUUUAUGCUAUGAUAUGAGAACUACAUGCUAGAUUUUGUGCUAAGGAUCUACUCAGGAUUGCAUGAAAGAAUGCUAGGAAAGAUGCCUUUAUGUGCCUAUCUAUAUGAGCUUUUAGAAUUGCAUGCUAGUAUCAGAUCAGUUACUUGUUAGGAUGGCCUGAUAUGGUAUAUUUUAAGUGUAAUUGCCUGACGCUCGAAUGUUGCAUGUUUUGUGCUUUAGUAAGUUCUGUUGGUACUAACUAACUGGUGGAUGAAUGCGUUGGGUUACAUAUCACUGUGAUUAGAUUAUUUUAGAAGGAUAGGUUUAACUCUAUUGUGCAGCUCUUUUUUGAGUCCAACCAUUAUAGGGUGGGACCUAUCAUUCAAAGGAUUAUCUGGUACUAGUAGUGUGUAAUUGUAUUCAUGUGGUUGUUAGGUGGUACUUGUAGAAGUUCCUUCUACAGCUGAUAGCAGAGAAAGGUGAGGAAGGGAGUCUUAGGGAGUCCCUAUAAGAUGCUUAGUGUGUAGGGUGCCUUAUAGUUUGAGAAUGUAUUAGUUGGGAAGAGUGACUUGGAAGAGUCGGUGUAGUCCUUGAGGAGGGUAUAAUGGGGUGUGGCAGGUAGUAUUACGCCCGUACUACUGAAAGCACAAGAUUUAUACCCGAUGCCAGAAAGACCACGAUGAGUUUGGGGAGCUCGAGAGUGCGAACCUUCUCGUGUGUAUGCUAAUUCUUUAUGUGGUUAUGUUUCAGUAUGGUGAUGACAUGUCAUGGAGCAGGAGGUUUGAGGAUCAAGAUCUGGUUCUGGCACUGGCUCCGAACUAAAUGAUGAGGGUUUAUGAGAUUUCAUUGCAUAUAAGGUUACGAGAGGCAACAUUGAUGCGGCCCCUGUGAUGUCCGGGUCGAUCAAGGAAGGUAUCAUGGAGUUGAUGGAGGAUCGUAUGCGGAUCUUCAGGGCUGAUCUGGCCGCUAGCUAGUCGGGGGCCCACACACUCUUCUUCAAGGAUAUCAAGGGAUGUGGAAGACCAGACUUCUUUGGGGUGAAGGACCCCAUCACAGCCAGACAUUGGAUAGCCGACAUCUAGUGUGCUCAGAUCAUGAGCUUCUGCCUCGACGGGUCGAACGUCAAGUUUGCUGCAAGAUGUUUGAGGGAGCCAGCCCGGGAUUGGUGGGAGGAGGUCCUCUAUGCCUUGGGAGCCCUGGUAAUUGAGGCCAUGACCUAGCUAGAUUUUGUGACCAGGUUUUGAGCAGAGUUUACACCGGCUGUUGAGGUGCACAGUUAGCCAAGGAGUUUCUUGAUAUGAGGCAGACGACUAAGACUGUGGUGGAGAUCACUGCCAAGUUUAGAGAGAGAGAAGGCAUUGUUGGUAACCUAGUAUGCAGCUAGCAAGGAGAUGAGAAAGACCUAAUACCAGGAUAUGUUGAGAUCCGACAUCAAGAAGUUCAUUAGUUUUCUGCCUGUCCGACACUGGAUGAUAUAAUAGGCAAGCCGUAAGAGCGAGAGAUUGACCUGGAGCACAUAUGGAAGAAGAGGGCAGAGCCUGGACAGAUCUUUGGGGUUUCAGCGAAGAAACCCAUGGGUUUUCUCUCUAGGCCUAAGGGCCGGAGACGUUGUGGAAAAUGCGGCAGGUCGCAUGUUGGGUUUGUAGAGCGGGUGGUUUGGGCUGCUACAAGUGCAGAAAGUUAGGGCACUUUAGCAAGGAUUUUACUGCUUCUAUCACCACUUCACAUACAUCAUACCUAAUUUUCUUUCAUUGCAAUUAGUGGAACAAAAAAAAGGUCAACUUCCCGCCUCUAGCAUUAGGAGGACCAAUGUUAGCUCCAGCUCCUGCGACCAUACGGAUCACAGAUGGAUGCUAGGGCAAGGCGGAUGCUCCUGUAACGAGGAGACGUGCCUUUUAGUUAACAGUCGAGGAGGCGUGUGUUGCACCCGAUGUGGUGACGGGUAUGUCUAUUCACCUUAACUCUUUAUUUAUGUUGAAUUUGUUGCUUAUAUUUUAUGUUCUUUGUUUUAGGAUCAUUCCUUGUGAACUGUAUCCCUGCUUAGGUAUUUUUUUAAUUUGGGGGCUACCCAAUACUUUGUGUCUCUUUCACUUAACAAGAGGUUUACUGGAUCUUCUAGUGAGCUGGAUCAUCCAUUAGAAGUUGAGAUUGAGGAUAAUCGAUUCGUCAGGGCAUCGAGGGUUCAUCGGGAUUGUGUUAUGGGAUGUUUAGUGAGCAGUAUCUGAUUGACUUGGUUCCCAUUCCUUUGCACGAGAACAAGGUUAUAGUGGUGAUGGAUUAGUAAUGCCCCAAUGGGGAGAUGAUUGAUAUGAGUGCCAGCUGGUACGUGUUUGGACCCUAAGUGGGGGAGAAUUGGUGGUCCAUGGAGAGGGCACUCAGCGCGGGUGGGUCCUAUGCUUAGCUGCUAGGGCCAGACGCUAUCUUCAUCAGGGUUGUUCUGGGUUCGUCGCCUAUUUUAUUGAUACCCGGGAGCAGGGUAGAGCAUCGGUUAAUGAUGUAUCGAAUGUGUAGGAGUACCCAUAUGUGUUUAUGUAGGAUUUACCCUGGGUGCCUCUGGAGAGGCAGCUGGAGUUCCGAAUUGAUUUGAUCCCUAGUGUGGCUCCGAUGGCUAAAACACCAUAUUGAUUAGCUCCACCAGAGAUGCAGGAAUUGUCUACAUAGCUGUUAGACAAGGGAUUCAUCCAACUGAGUAGUUUGGCUUUGGGUGCACCGAUCCUAUUUGUGAAGAAGAAGGAUGGUUCGCAUUGGAUGUCUAUUGACUAUAAGGAUUUGAAUAAGUUAAUGGUGAAGAACCGCUAUCAACUCCAAUGGAUUGAUGAUUUUUUUACCAACUUUAGGGUGUGUAUUGGUUUUCCAAGAUUAAUGUAUGUUCGGUUUAUCAUCAGAUGAGGGUCAGAGAGGACGAUAUGCAGAAGACGACCUUCUGGACUCGUUAUGGUCAUUACAAGUUCGUAGUGAUGCCCUUCAGGCUCACCAAUUCUCCACCCGUAUUCAUGGACCUCAUGAACCACGUGUGUCGACCAAUGUUGGAUCGUUCUUUGAUUGUAUUCAUUGAUGACAUUCUGGUCUAUACCAAGACCCAAUAGUAGCAUGAGGAGCACUUGGGAGAGGUUUUGGAGACCCUGAGGAGGGAGAGGUUGUAUGCAAAGUUCCCAAAGUGUGAGUUCUGGUUGUGUGAGCUGCAGUUUCGGGGGCACCUUGUCAACCAGAAUGGUAUUCUGGUCGAUUCGGCCAAGGUAGUGGUCAUAUGAGUUGGGAAGUUCUAAGGUCGCCAUCUGAGAUUCAGAGUUUCCUUGGUUUAACUAGAUAUUUGUUGGAUUAAUGUCUAAGUCCAUAACUAUAAUGGGUAAGACUUGACCCGACCCGGCAUGGUCCAUUUGGGUUGCAUGGCAUCAUGCAUUUGGAAAGACUAUAAUGAGAGAAUUAACACUUAAGGUUUGUUAAUAUAUUAUAAGUUAUAAUAUAUAUUAAUAAGAUUAUUUAAUUAGUAUUGAUCAAGAAUUAAUCUAGAAUUAAUUAAGUGAUCAAAAGAAGACUAAUUAAAUAUAUGGGUUGAUUGUGUAAAUCAUCCAUACUUGUAUAGUGGGCUAAUGCUCCAUGGAUUAUCAAGUUGGGCUAAAACCUAUAUGAUGCUCCAUGGAUGCUCCAUGGUGUAUUUGAACCCACGGAUCCAAGGAAAUGGAAAGCCAUGACAAUUAGGGUUUACCUAAAUUGUAACAACUAUAUAAGAUCAUAUUAUUUAGCAAAAAUCGGCCACUAUGUGUGUAAUAGAGGGGCUAGCCGAUUUUCAUGAAGUAUAGAAUUCUCUCAAGUUAUUCCAAGUUUAUUUGAUGUUGUGUGAGCCGUUUGAGGUGUCACACUUGGGGCACUAGGCACUUAAGCUUCUUGAGAACAUUCUACAUCAAAGAGGUAUGUAUUCUAUCUUGUUAUAUUCAUUGUUUUGUAUGCUAGAUUAGGAUAAUACCUUGGAUGUUCAUAUUUGCAUGUAUAAUAGAGAAAACAUAGAUCCAAGGUAUUUAGGGUUGCAUGUACACUUAGGAGUGUUAGAAUGCUCAAAACCCAACAGUGGUAUCAGAGCCUAGGCUUGUUUUCUUGUUAUACUUGCAAAACGAGCUUGAAAAUCGAGUUUUGAUGCUGUCUGCCCAGCAGACUCGCCGAGUCCAUGAAUGGACUCGCCGAGUCCAAGGCAAAAUGCAUCCAACUCGCCGAGUUGGUUCGUGCACUCGACGAGUUGGACCCCCAGACAGCAUAAAUUCGACUUUUUUGGCUGGAAUUGGACUAGGAACAUUACCCUAAGAUGUUUUUGGACUUAUAAACUUGUUUUUGAUGUGGUAAUGUUCAUGCUAAUCCAAUUUCUAAGAUAAUUGUCAAAAUUUCAAGAUUUGUAUUAGUUUGUAUGUUCAUGCUAAUUUCUUGAAGAUUGAUGAUUUGAAUUAUCUUGUUCUUAGAUUAAUAGAAAAGUUGUGUGAAAUAGUUGAUUUCAAUCCAUUUUAAUCUAAGAGUUGAUUCCAAAGUGUGUUUUUGUAACUUGUCCUCAAGUUAUAUGAAAAGUCACAUUUAAGAAUCAUAAAACUCAUAAAAGUUGGCAAAGGUUACAAAAUGAAGAGUCUAGUUCUAAUUAAAUGGUUUUAUGACUCCAUAACUUGUCCUCAAGUUAUGGAGGACCAAGAGUCUCUUCAUUAAAUAAUAAAUAAAAAAAAAAAGUGUAACCUUAAUUAAUUCCAUAAGUUAUAAAAUAAAGAAAAGUUAAUUCUUUUAUUAGUUUAAAGUCUUCCAUAACUUGUCCUCAAGUUAUGGAACUUGAAGAGUUUUUGGAUUAAAACUACUUUAAACACAUAAGUUAUGGAAUUAAUUAGUUUUGAAUAGUUUCAAAACUUGCCCUCAAGUUUUGGAAUUUGAAAAGUUUUCUCUUAUGAAUACUUUAAUUCCAAGUUAAGCCCUUAGGAUUUUAAAAGUUAAAAUUCAAUCCUUAUACUUUAUAAUAUUAUAAGUCAAUAAUAUUUAUAUAUAUGUAUAAGAGUAAAAGUCAGUCUUACCGUUAGUAGGCCUCAUUCACGAAGCCGGUCUAUAAGGGGGGUAUAAGGUUACUGCCUAUAAAAUGGUAGUUUAAUGGGUGUCCACUCUCACCCACCGCUUCCUUGACUGGUGGAGGGUCGUUAGCCGAACGGGUAGGACAAAGACUAUAAGUUCUCCCUUCAUUAAAAGUAUUAAUGAUAAAUACUAAGUAACUAAACCUUUUAUAAAUUCCCAAUCUUAGUUACUUAGAAAAAUGUGAAUAAGGUGCUAACCAAUGAAAUUACACUUUGCAUUUUGCGUAAGUCGGUUGGUGGAGCGUGUGUGGUUUACCAGCACACUAGCUUCAUUUAACAGGGUAGGCGAAGGGUUUCGUAAAGCUUAAUCAUAGGCCGGUGGAGCGUGUGUGGUUUACCGGCACAUCGGUUGGGUGAUAUACAUUUAAGAGUACCAAGUAAUUUGCAUGGUUACUUCACACCUUGUUUUGUGAUCCUCGGCAUCCCAGUCACAAAACCUGAAGGGCACACUCGAGAUUGAAACAUGCCAUUGAAAAGUUCAAUGAAUCUCAAAAGAUCUAGGAGUUUCAAAUCCAAUUAAAACUUAGUUAUAUUUCGUUUUUCGUGGUGGAAAUUGGUAAAUCCUCAUUUACCUACCUUCAACUAUUUUAUAAUUUGGAUUACGGCAUCCCUCUUCCAGUUAUAAAUAAGUUGUUGGGUCCUAGCCUUAAUAUUUCAUAUUGGGUGUUAUAUUAAGGACUUUUAAAUCAACUAAACUUGAAUAUGUCCCAAAAGGUGUCUAGUUCAGACAUCUAUGAUCUUCCCAAAUCUCUUGGAACUUCACUUCCUCCAAUUCCUCCAAUUAUUCUCCUAACCCACAAGUUCAAGGUCACUCAAGGCCUAUUGGCGAGGCAAGGUCUAGGUGUGAUCACAUCUUGGAGAUGAAGUCACAUAUUGACAAGCUGAGAGAGUUGGGUGUCAAAGUCUUGAGAAAGUUCGAUGUUCAAUCACUUUAUAAGUCACAUAGUGAGUUUCUUUGGGACUCCUAUGAAAUAGACUAUGACAAGACCCUUAAUGAUCUUAUCUAUUUGCUUGGUACUGCUAAAUCAGCAAUGAUUUGGAAGACUAGUAAAGCAAAUUUGAUUAAAAAUCGACUUCCAAAACUUUAUGGACAGGGACAAUAGUGACACAGGAAAUCCAGAAAAGCAUUCUCUUCCCAAUAGAAAGUGAUUGGCCAUAGUCAACUUGGCUGACAAAAUGGUAAAGAGAAAGGCUAAGUCUGAGAUAGUCCCAUGUACUAUUACCUAAGGGUCCAUAUGUUUCUAUUGCCAAAGGAAGGGGCUUUGAUUACGAAACUACCAAACUUACCUAAGGAUGGUAAAGUCAAUGAGUUUGACUUUAUUUCAGGUAAAGUCCAUUGUCUAACUCUAUUAAGUUUCUAUUAUGAGAUUCUUGAUACAUAAUGUAACUGGAUCACACAUUCAUGUUUUAAGAAUCAAAGAGAACUGAAGAAAUUUAAAGAUAGAAUAUGCUGAAUCAGAUUGCGUAGAUGGAUUUCUAUCGCAUAGUUUGAAGAUCGGAUUCUUGAGCUACUUCUUAGGAGUUAUGAGAUAUUUCUUAGGAAUAGAUAACAACUGGUUUUCAUAUGGAUUGUAAGGAUAAGUUCUUCUGCAAAGUUUUUUAAAAUAAAAGGAAAAUUUCUGAUUUUAUUUAUUUUAAAAUAUCCUUACAAUGGCAUCUAUGAAAAUUUUUGUUACUUAUAAGAUUCCAUUAAUAGCAAGACUGGAAAUAUGAAAUUGAUUCUUUCAUUUGUGGUAAUGUCUAAAUUCACCAAAUAAGGAAAGAUUCACAUCACCCAAGUUUCAAUUGGAUCGGAACUUGGAAUCAUGUAAGUUGUAUACUAUGAUGAAUGAGAACUUUCAAGCAUUGGAAAAUUAAGACAAAUUACUUGUUCACAUGGAUGUGUGAGUCAAGUAAAGGACUAAGGGAUCGAGUACACAUUCUUGUGCACUAAUCAAGACCACCACAAAUAGUCGAUAAGACUAUUCGUCAUGAUUUACUAAAGUUUAAUAAAUAUGGUUAUACUUAUAAGUCUAAGUGUAAUUCUGAAGCAUUGGAAAAGNUUGGAAAAUUAAGACUAAUUACUUGUUCACAUGGAUGUGUGAGUCAAGUAAAGGACUAAGGGAUCGAGUACACAUUCUUGUGCACUAAUCAAGACCACCACAAAUAGUCGAUAAGACUAUUCGUCAUGAUUUACUAAAGUUUAAUAAAUAUGGUUAUACUUAUAAGUCUAAGUGUAAUUCUGAAGCAUUGGAAAAGUCUCGAUGUAUGGAAGAACGAAUGAGAAGAAUCAUAUUAGGCAGAAGGAUAAAAGUUUCUCAAAUCUGAAAAGAUGGGCGAGUAUUUUUAUGACAUAUGAUCAUCUUAAUGAUUAAGAGACCUUAUCACAAUUCAUCCUCUAAGUGCAUUCUGAUAGCUAAGAAGAGGAGUUAUGAAUUGUUGAAGUGGUUAAAUCAAGAAGAUGAGUCAUACUUCGUUCCAAAACAAUUCUUAGAGUCAUACUCCAAGAUUGUAACUUGAGUGACAUAUCUUAAAGAAGGUUUAUUAACACUAGUCAAAUGUAAGAGUAACAGGUUAUCUACUCUUGUACAUUUGAAAUUGGUAAGUUGUGAUGUUUUGGAUAAAACAGAGACCAACUUAGACCAAUUGUGUGAAGUGUUUGUCUUGAUAAAGAAUCCGCACUAUCCCUUGAAUAUUUGACAAGAGAGUCUUAUAUGUC